AAUGAACGCUGGCGGCGUGCUUAACACAUGCAAGUCGAACGAUGAAGCCUAGCUUGCUAGGUGGAUUAGUGGCGCACGGGUGAGUAAUAUAUAGAUAACGUACCUCUUAGUCUGGGAUAGCCAUUGGAAACGAUGAUUAAUACUAGAUACUCCUUCUAACUAUAGAGUUAGUUGGGAAAGUUUUUCGCUAAGAGAUCGGUCUAUAUCCCAUCAGUUAGUUGGUAGUGUAAGAGACUACCAAGACAAUGACGGGUAGCGGGUUUGAGAGGAUGAUCCGCCACACUGGUACUGAGACACGGACCAGACUCCUACGGGAGGCAGCAGUGAGGAAUAUUGCACAAUGGGGGAAACCCUGAUGCAGCAACGCCGCGUGGAGGAUGACGCAUUUCGGUGUGUAAACUCCUUUUAUAUGUCAAGAAAAUGACGGUAGCAUAUGAAUAAGCACCGGCUAACUCCGUGCCAGCAGCCGCGGUAAUACGGAGGGUGCAAGCGUUAUUCGGAAUCACUGGGCGUAAAGGACGCGUAGGCGGGUUGCCAAGUCUGAUGUGAAAUCCUAUGGCUCAACCAUAGAACUGCAUUGGAAACUGGUAAUCUAGAGUAUGGGAGGGGGAGAUGGAAUUAGUGGUGUAGGGGUAGAAUCCGUAGAUAUCACUAGGAAUACCGAAAGCGAAGGCGAUCUCCUGGAACAUUACUGACGCUAAGGCGUGAAAGCGUGGGGAGCAAACGGGAUUAGAUACCCCGGUAGUCCACGCCCUAAACGAUGUUCACUAGUCGUCGGGAUGCUAGUCAUCUCGGUGAUGCACUUAACAGAUUAAGUGAACCGCCUGGGGAGUACGGUCGCAAGAUUAAAACUCAAAGGAAUAGACG
RNAcentral lists this ribosomal RNA (867 nucleotides) under uncultured Campylobacterota bacterium. RNAcentral's name for it is "bacterial SSU rRNA". It matches the Rfam family "Bacterial small subunit ribosomal RNA", at positions 28 to 915 of the family's 1533-position model. Lineage: Bacteria; Pseudomonadati; Campylobacterota. The record is from RNAcentral.